RNAcentral lists this ribosomal RNA (635 nucleotides) under uncultured fungus. Its description in RNAcentral is "eukaryotic LSU rRNA". It matches the Rfam family "Eukaryotic large subunit ribosomal RNA", at positions 23 to 602 of the family's 3401-position model. The record is from RNAcentral. Lineage: Eukaryota; Fungi.
ACCCGCUGAACUUAAGCAUAUCAGUCAGCGGAGGAAAAGAAACCAACUGGGAUUCCCUUAGUAAGGGCGACUGAAACGGGAAAAGCUCAAGCUGAAAUCUGGGCGUCUUCGGCGCUUAGAAUUGUAGUUUUGUGGGUAACUCGAAGCCAAGCUCGGCGACUAAAUCCUCUGGAAAGGGGUGCCAUAGAGGGUGACAGCCCCGUGAGUUGUUGACGCAAGGCAAUCAUGUUACUCGUAGAGUCGAGUUGUUUGGGAGUACAGCUCUAAGUGGGAGGUAAAUUCCUUCUAAAGCUAAAUAUGGGCAAGAGACCGAUAGCGAACAAGUACCGUGAGGGAAAGAUGCAAAGAACUUUGAAAAGAGAGUUAAAAGUACGUGAAAUUGCUAACAGGGAAGCGUUUGGGGUCGACAUAUGCCGGCUGAGAUUCACCUAGUGUCGCGCAGAAUGUGCUGUACAGCGUAGCAGGGUUUUCACCUUGUGCCUGUGCGGCGUAAACAUGUGCGCAUUAGGGCACUUCUUAGUCGGCUGGGGAGCAGGAGUAAGGAGAGAGGGAGAAGGCCUUCAGGAAGGUAGCAGUGUUUCGGCACUGUGUUUAGCCUGAGGUGUUGCCUACCUUUCUCAUCUUACUGAGGGGCU